Molecule: ribosomal RNA, 490 nt
Filed under: Sphaerospira fraseri
Lineage: Eukaryota; Metazoa; Mollusca; Gastropoda; Stylommatophora; Camaenidae
Description: partial 12S ribosomal RNA
Source: RNAcentral
AUUUGUGCACCAAUUUAAUUUCUCCAUUAAAUAAAUAUAAUCAUAAUUACUGUUAAGUCCCUCUUUAGCAUUGUUUUACAAUAAUGCGUCCGAUAAUAAUUUAAAAUGUAACUCGCCAUUACCAAGGAAUCGUCUGCACCUUGAUCUGUCUUUUAAAUACCGAAUUACGUUGGUAAAACUUCAAGUGUUACCUGACGACGACGGCAUACAAGAGUUUUCAAUGGUUGUUUUACCUUGGUGGUUGUCAUUUAUAAGGUAAGUUCCCCUAAAUUAAAAUUACCGCCAUGUUGUUUAAGUUUUAACUCAUAUAGUUGUAGUACUCGGCAAAAUUAAAUGGGCAUUUGUAUAAAGGGGUAUCUAAUCCCUGUCUAUCACUAAUGUUUGAAAGAAAAACCACACAGAUAGAGCUACGAAUUGGUAUAUUUCACCACUCUUGUAAUAGUACUGAUGUGUAAAUUUUGCUGAUCCCGCUGCUUACUAAAGUAUGACC